Molecule: ribosomal RNA, 131 nt
Filed under: Sticta sp.
Lineage: Eukaryota; Fungi; Ascomycota; Lecanoromycetes; Peltigerales; Lobariaceae
Description: partial small subunit ribosomal RNA
Rfam family: Eukaryotic small subunit ribosomal RNA
Source: RNAcentral
CCCUGCCCUUUGUACACACCGCCCGUCGCUACUACCGAUUGAAUGGCUCAGUGAGGCUUUCGGACUGGCCUAGGGAGAGUGGCAACGACCACCCAGAGCCGGAAAGUUCGUCAAACUUGGUCAUUUAGAGG